Molecule: long non-coding RNA, 533 nt
Filed under: Ananas comosus (pineapple)
Lineage: Eukaryota; Viridiplantae; Streptophyta; Magnoliopsida; Poales; Bromeliaceae
Description: long non-coding RNA (ACOM_LNC033236)
Source: RNAcentral
AAAAUAGUUUUUCCAUGGUCUAAAAAAUCACUUUGCGCCCAUGCAAAGUUUAACGCAUUUUUCACUUUGCAACCACAUUAUUCUUUAAAAAAUUUACUUUACCACCUAUUUUGACAUAGGAUUUUUUGAUAAAAUAACAAUUAAAUUAAUCAGGUUAAUAUUAAACUGGUUGAGCUAUCCAAUCAAAUAAUCAUAACUCGAACAGUAAACUUCGGAUCGACUAUCCAUGUUUAAAAGUUAAAAUAUCAAUAUAUUACAUUUUUCUAAUUGAAUUUUAGCUUUGAACAUCCAAUUUCAAUUUAUUAAGAGUUUUGUCUUGAAUUUUGACCACAUCAACUUCAACUCAUCAUUCAGCCAUCUAAAUUGAAGUGUAAAACUCAAUACAAUAAUCUAAAAAAUUUGAAUAAAGUUGGACAACCAAAGAAUUACGUUUUUUAUAAUUUGAGAAUAAAGUGUGUAAUUUAUACUGAACUUGUGAAGAUUAUAAAAGUUUAAUUUAUUUUAAUUAAGAUAUUGAACCGAAUUUGUUAGAA